Long non-coding RNA from Calidris pugnax (ruff), 3145 nucleotides. RefSeq lists it as uncharacterized. The transcript is spliced from 4 exons. The record is from RefSeq and is a predicted model, not a curated record. Lineage: Eukaryota; Metazoa; Chordata; Aves; Charadriiformes; Scolopacidae.
CCUUCAGCAACAACAACAAAAAAUGGAGCAAGUGAAUUAGUGUGAAAUUAGUGUGAAAAUAUGAAGUUCUGUAGAUGCACAUAAUUCAGGCAGUGUUAAAGUUGUUUCACUGGAAGAUUCAGAUUAUUAAAAUCUACAGACUUCAUAGAAAAGACCAGAUUUAUAAAAAGGAUGAGAAGAACUGGAAUGUUUCGUCAAAUCAAUUUUAUUUCCUCCUGCCAUAAUAUUUUUAACAUUGUGAAAAAAACACUAUAUAGAUUUGAGUAGUGAAUUUGCAUGUGCAAUUAUACUGUGCAUCAGAGGUGGUUUUCUCUUCUAAUAUCGUAUUUGGAUUUUGUACCUUUAUGUAUGGGAACAUGUCCAGAUGUCUCAGGGGCCAUCCCCGUUACUCCUUGCUUGAAGCACUUCCAUCUAAAAAAUUAUUUUUCAAGUACUUUAAUAAUCAGAUUCCAAAAUAUCAUUAGUGUAACUGAGGGCAGAGGUAAUUAUGCAUAUGUGUCUGAUUAAUAUUGAGUUUCUUUUGUGUGCUCAGAUAGUUUAAAAAAAAAAUCAUAAGUUUUUCUGUAGCUGUCUCCUGGUUUGAUAAUACUGUGGAUUCCAUUCCUUUAUCUAAAAGGCCACUAAACUUUUCUCCAGUUGUGGCUGCAUCCUGUGACCCACAAAGCAACGUGUGUUUGGUUUUUUUUAAUCAGUUCAGCAACACCUGGUACUGAGAAGAGAGCGUGUUCUUUACAAUCUGGUAUUUUUCUGGACAUCGUGUUUGUGUAUUUGGUGGGCAUCCAUUUUUAUCUCAGUGUUUCUUCUCGUGCUCUUAACACCAGCAUCCUUUCCCUACCCGUGGAAUUACCCUGCGCAGUAAUUGAUUUAAAGUUACAUAAAUGUUUAUCAGCCAUCAAGUUUUAGACUUUAUUUACCUCAUUCAUGCUUACAUCUGGUCCAAUUGCAAAAUAUCUGAAAGUGAUUUUCUGGAGAGAAAGACAAAUAACUCCUGCAAUUUGGUUAACUGAAUACCAUUGAGGGCUUCAUGUUACUACAUAUAGGUAUGGUCUGAAUAUCAAGUAGUUCCUGCUUCAAAAAGAGAAUUUAAAUAGUCUAAAAACUCUGUAAUGAAAACCUUUAUUUCAAAUCAAUUAGCUGCUGCAUUCUUGUAUUUGUACUUGAACAAAGUAGAAAAUAGCGUCUGGGUUUUUUUGAUUACUUACCAUUAGUGUUAUAUUUCCUGACCAUAUUGUGUUAAUCCUCAGAGUUUUAUUAAUAAAUUUCUAUAAUGUAAAAUUCCAACAUUUCCCUGCAAAAUACAAUAUUAACUGUGUGUGAUGUUCAGCUGCAGAACAGUUUCUGAUCUGAGAAGGAGUCAAAUCAUCAAAGUUUAUACACAGUAAAAUGCUUAACUUGGAGAUGGACUUACCAGUCAUCGUUAUUGCUCUGUGACUGGAGGGAGAAGUUCACACACCUGAGUUACUGCAGGUGCGAGGUACCUGAAUUCAGCCUCCCAAAAGCCGGCUCCGGCUGCACUCACCGGAGAGCACAGAAAAUGGAAGAGGAUGAGUCCACGUUUGAAACCUGGGACUGGCUGCUGUGUUUGACCCGGGCAUUCAGGGCAGUGAGGAACCCGCAACAACACGUGGCCAGCUGGAAAAGAUGGAUCACAAGCCAAAAGGAGUGGCAUGAAAGAUUUCCCCUUUUUUUCCGUACAAGAAAGAAACAAAAAUGACUUGUAGUAUUAUGAUCCAGCAGACUCUUAGACCUGCAUCGUUGGGCCUCUAACAAUGGUAAGAAAAUCUCAUUUCUAAUGAUGCGAAAUUGCAUUACAUUAAAUCAUUACUACACGUGUUCCAAAAUCCAUUGGUCCUACUGUUAGUAAAGCUUUGUACGCUUGACAGCACCAUUAAGUCAUGAGGUUAUACAAGGGACAACUCUCUCGCUGGAAGAUAUAUGUUAUGCCUUCAUAGCAAUUCAAUUUGCAUAGAAAAACAUUGGGAUUUAGCUAAAAUGUUUUGGAAGCAAUGCCAGAAAACACAGUUAUCUUGAAUUGCCUUUCCUCAGUACAUUUUGCUAAGCUAUUAGAAAUAUCAGUCCCUUUUUCUUCGGAUUGCUUUUCUCCAGUUACACCCUGUUUUUACGUUGUGUUCUACCCUGGUGUGUUUUAACCAAACCCUUGCUAGUCCCGUAGGUUUUAAUGACACUCACCAAUGUUUGUUGUUUUCCAGGAAAGAUAAGCCCUUGUUCUGAAACAUUCAGGGGCAGAUUUUCAAAGGUGCUUAAGCAUCCAAGAAUAUUUUAUGGGAUUUCACCUGCUUGGGCAGGUGCCUAGCUACAUUCCUGCAUCCUUCAAUGACUGUGCACCUCCAAAAACAUGUUUCUUGCCUAAUCUGGAUAGACUGGGAAAACAUGAACCAAUAUAACUUGGAAUGAAAAGAGGAGGUACCAGAAUAAAGGGAGAGGCAAGUACAAUUGUGUCAUUCUUUGAUGUGGGCAUGAAUAUCUCUUUGUCUUUCUGAAUCAUGCAAGUAUUGUUGAAUCGAUUUAUUUGUUUGGGCUUUCAUGAGAAUUAUUGUAGUAGCAUUUCUGCUUUUUCUUAGGAAAUCUGGAAUGAGGUGAGAGUGCUAUAAAGUCAGCUUUUGGAAAUAACAGGUCAGCAUAAGCACUGGCACAGAGAGAAAAAAAAAGCACAGGAGAUACAAAGGAGUAUUCAACAGUAGCAUGAGCAGCAGAAGAGUCAAGGAGGGUAAAAAAACGAGGUGUCAUUGAAAACUUUAACUGUAGAGUAUUGACUGGAAUGAAUCCACCAGUGAGUGUACAGGAAGGAAACUAAAACUGAUUAAAUAUGACCAGCUGAAUGAGUGUGGAGAUGGGAGGCUUGCUGCUGAGAGCCAGUUUGGUCCUGGGCCCAUUUGUGCCAUAUGGGAAAGAAAACCAUAAUAAACUGAAAUUGUUUAUCUUCCUCCAGAAAGCAUUUCACAUAAUAACAUGACGCUAUUAACUGCAUUCGAGCUUUUAACCGCAAACACCCAAUGUCAGCUUCCAGUGCUGUUUUCCCUAAGCUGUGUAUGAGGCAGCCUCAGCUCUGUAAAAUCGAUCUGUGUCUUCAAUUUCAUCAGCCACGUUAGACACCUGUGUUACUGCACCUGAACAGAUCGCAGUG